Chrysemys picta bellii (western painted turtle) is the source of this 929-nucleotide non-coding RNA. The record is from RefSeq and is a predicted model, not a curated record. Lineage: Eukaryota; Metazoa; Chordata; Testudines; Emydidae.
CUGAACCGAGGGCCUCCCAUGCUCCUUGUAGAGGUUUCCGGUCGUCUCCCCCUGGGCUGACGUUGUCGCUCUGUAUCCCCAGGAUGUGCUCAGGCCAGUGUGCAGAGAUCUGGAGAUAGGUCACCCAACACCUACACCACCAGAGGAAUGUGAAGAAGAUCCGAGGGAACUUGCUGUGGUACCAGCAUCUGGAGGAGGCAGAGGGAAAGCCCAGCAGGUCGGAACCGGAGCAGGAGCGGCCCGCCUGCGUGGGGAGCUGCAGCAGUUGGACCUGCAGAUGGAGACGGCCCAGCGCGAGAUCAUGGCUGACGGUAAGGGGGAAGCCCCAAGGAUCUGUGGGGCCAGCAUAGUGUGUGCCCCCAACGCUCUACCCCAGCCCAUCACUGUGGGGGUGGGGGGCACAAAGUCCACCCCAGUCCUCCCAUCUGUUCUCCCACAGCAGACAGUGGGACCGUCCCCCUGCAGCCCAGAUCCAUUUCCCCCACUUCUUCGUAGGGCGCAGGAUUGUUCCCCUACCCUGCCCUCCUUGGGGGCACCAUCUCCCCAUGUGGGCUCUUCCCCAGCCGCAAGGUUCCCGUGGGCCAUGGGGCUGCUGCUUUUUUCCCCCAUGCUCCCUCCCCAGACAAUUGCCUGUGGGAUUCACACCCAUCACCUCAGGAUUCCUGGGUUCUGUCUCCUAGUCUGGGAGCAGGGGAGGGGGAGAGGCUGGGAGCCAGGACUCCUGGGUUCUAUCCCUAGCUCUGGGAAGGGAGUGGGACCUAGGGGUUAGCGUCUGGGGCUCGGGGUGGGGUUUCCCUGACACUCUUUCUCCUCCCACCCCACAGAGUUCUGUAGAUAAAUCUCUGAUAAUUUUCAUAUGACUUUAUAUUGUGCCUCUUCAUAUAACCUUGUGGUGGGUCUACCCACGUGUGACCUCUGUUUUCAUGGGA